GGGUUGUGAGGUUAAGCGACUAAGCGUACACGGUGGAUGCCCUGGCAGUCAGAGGCGAUGAAGGACGUGCUAAUCUGCGAUAAGCGUCGGUAAGGUGAUAUGAACCGUUAUAACCGGCGAUUUCCGAAUGGGGAAACCCAGUGUGAUUCGUCACACUAUCAUUAACUGAAUCCAUAGGUUAAUGAGGCGAACCGGGGGAACUGAAACAUCUAAGUACCCCGAGGAAAAGAAAUCAACCGAGAUUCCCCCAGUAGCGGCGAGCGAACGGGGAGCAGCCCAGAGCCUGAAUCAGUGUGUGUGUUAGUGGAAGCGUCUGGAAAGGCGUGCGAUACAGGGUGACAGCCCCGUACACAAAAAUGCACAUACUGUGAGCUCGAUGAGUAGGGCGGGACACGUGGUAUCCUGUCUGAAUAUGGGGGGACCAUCCUCCAAGGCUAAAUACUCCUGACUGACCGAUAGUGAACCAGUACCGUG
This 474-nucleotide ribosomal RNA is filed under the name Shigella flexneri. RNAcentral describes it as "partial 23S ribosomal RNA". It matches the Rfam family "Bacterial large subunit ribosomal RNA", at positions 1 to 505 of the family's 2925-position model. The record is from RNAcentral. Lineage: Bacteria; Pseudomonadati; Pseudomonadota; Gammaproteobacteria; Enterobacterales; Enterobacteriaceae.